CAUCACAACGCCCAGCAACUGUGCAGAGCUCUGGAAGACAGGGUGCAGAAUUAUGAUCUGGAUUUGUGCUAGAACACAGGACAUGGCACUCGGGGGAAGAGCUACCAGCGUGCUGACCUCCAGCCUGCUGAGGACAGUCAUGGCCUCCAUCUGUCUCGGCUCCAGCAUGGCCCAGACGGUAACUCAAGCCCAGACUGCAACUUCAGUGAUGGAGAAGGGAAGUGUGACCUUGGGCUGUGGAUAUGAAACCAGUGAUCCUACUUACUAUUUAUUCUGGUACAAACAGCCACCAACUAGGGAAAUGAUUGCUCUUAUUCGUCAGGACUCUUAUAAUGAGAAGAAUACAUCAGAGGGUCGGUAUUUUCUGAACUUCCAUAAAUCAGCCCGUUCUAUCAGCCUCACCAUCAUGACCUCACAGCUCACUGACUCCACAGUGUAUUUCUGUGCUCUGAGAGAACACAGAGAUGUGGGUACCUGCAGGAACCCAACAAAAACCUCAAUGGGUGACAGUGCCCCUAGGGGAGGGGCUCCCUCACAGACAGGAAGCAGCAGGGCUGUGUCAGCACAGGUGGGGGUUGGACAGGGAACUGCAGCUCAAUUCAUAUAGGUGUCUAGAUUUAUUUUUUAUUGGAUGCAUAUGCGUGCUUCUCUUCCUUAGAUUAGAAUGAGAUAGAAUACUUAGCACAUGUUUUAGAUCAGAUAUAAGAAUGUAAAACAGAAAUUGCAACAACAAAAAAUCUACUAAUCUUGUGUGAGACACAAAUUAAAUAAUCUUGUGUGACUGCCCAGCAAUCACACUCCUCGAUUACUGGGUUAUCACACAAAAUUAUCUCAUCUCGGUCUUACAUAAAAGUGCAACAGAAAAAAAACAUUAAUCUCAAAUGGGAAAUUUACCUGAUUAUGUUUAGAUCAAAUAAAUAAUUCCACUGAUGAGAUAGCAAAUUUCCAGAA
Non-coding RNA from Tupaia belangeri chinensis (Chinese tree shrew), 951 nucleotides. The record is from the annotation of a RefSeq genome assembly. NCBI's taxonomy places the organism in Eukaryota, Metazoa, Chordata, Mammalia, Scandentia, Tupaiidae.